UGUUCCCUGAUGUUAGCGGCGGACGGGUGAGUAACACGUGGGUAACCUGCCUGUAAGACUGGGAUAACUCCGGGAAACCGGGGCUAAUACCGGAUGGUUGUUUGAACCGCAUGGUUCAGACAUAAAAGGUGGCUUCGGCUACCACUUACAGAUGGACCCGCGGCGCAUUAGCUAGUUGGUGAGGUAACGGCUCACCAAGGCGACGAUGCGUAGCCGACCUGAGAGGGUGAUCGGCCACACUGGGACUGAGACACGGCCCAGACUCCUACGGGAGGCAGCAGUAGGGAAUCUUCCGCAAUGGACGAAAGUCUGACGGAGCAACGCCGCGUGAGUGAUGAAGGUUUUCGGAUCGUAAAGCUCUGUUGUUAGGGAAGAACAAGUGCCGUUCAAAUAGGGCGGCACCUUGACGGUACCUAACCAGAAAGCCACGGCUAACUACGUGCCAGCAGCCGCGGUAAUACGUAGGUGGCAAGCGUUGUCCGGAAUUAUUGGGCGUAAAGGGCUCCCA
RNAcentral lists this ribosomal RNA (508 nucleotides) under Bacillus siamensis. Its description in RNAcentral is "bacterial SSU rRNA". It matches the Rfam family "Bacterial small subunit ribosomal RNA", at positions 80 to 573 of the family's 1533-position model. The record is from RNAcentral. Lineage: Bacteria; Bacillati; Bacillota; Bacilli; Caryophanales; Bacillaceae.